This 293-nucleotide ribosomal RNA is filed under the name Halobacteriales archaeon QS_4_69_31. RNAcentral describes it as "partial 16S ribosomal RNA". It matches the Rfam family "Archaeal small subunit ribosomal RNA", at positions 1 to 295 of the family's 1478-position model. The record is from RNAcentral. Lineage: Archaea; Methanobacteriati; Methanobacteriota; Halobacteria; Halobacteriales.
AUUCCGGUUGAUCCUGCCGGAGGCCAUUGCUAUCGGAGUCCGAUUUAGCCAUGCUAGUUGCACGGGUUCAGACCCGUAGCAGAUAGCUCAGUAACACGUGGCCAAACUACCCUGUGGACGGGAAUAACCUCGGGAAACUGAGGCUAAUCCCCGAUACGGCUCGCAUGCUGGAGUGCAGCGAGCCGGAAACGCUCCGGCGCCACAGGAUGUGGCUGCGGCCGAUUAGGUAGACGGUGGGGUAACGGCCCACCGUGCCGAUAAUCGGUACGGGUCAUGAGAGUGAGAGCCCGGAG